This 89-nucleotide non-coding RNA is filed under the name unclassified sequences. The record is from RNAcentral.
UAUUUUUCGCCGCCGGGUGAAUCGGAAACUAUGUGUUUCUCUUUGAAUCGUUAGGCCUUAGAAGAUUCAAAGGAGGGGACACAUUUUUA